This 857-nucleotide ribosomal RNA is filed under the name Flavobacterium sp. RNAcentral's name for it is "bacterial SSU rRNA". It matches the Rfam family "Bacterial small subunit ribosomal RNA", at positions 67 to 932 of the family's 1533-position model. The record is from RNAcentral. Lineage: Bacteria; Pseudomonadati; Bacteroidota; Flavobacteriia; Flavobacteriales; Flavobacteriaceae.
GUAUAGUUCUUCGGAAUUAGAGACCGGCGCACGGGUGCGCUAACGCGUAUGCAAUCUACCUUUUGCAGAGGGAUAGCCCAGAGAAAUUUGGAUUAAUACCUCAUAGAUAUAGCAGUUUCGCAUGAAACCACAUAUUAAAGUCACAACGGCAAAAGAUGAGCAUGCGUCCCAUUAGCUAGUUGGUAAGGUAACGGCUUACCAAGGCUACGAUGGGUAGGGGUCCUGAGAGGGAGAUCCCCCACACUGGUACUGAGACACGGACCAGACUCCUACGGGAGGCAGCAGUGAGGAAUAUUGGACAAUGGGCGCAAGCCUGAUCCAGCCAUGCCGCGUGCAGGAUGACGGUCCUAUGGAUUGUAAACUGCUUUUGUACAGGAAGAAACACUCCCUCGUGAGGGAGCUUGACGGUACUGUAAGAAUAAGGAUCGGCUAACUCCGUGCCAGCAGCCGCGGUAAUACGGAGGAUCCAAGCGUUAUCCGGAAUCAUUGGGUUUAAAGGGUCCGUAGGCGGUUUAGUAAGUCAGUGGUGAAAGCCCAUCGCUCAACGGUGGAACGGCCAUUGAUACUGCUAGACUUGAAUUAUUAGGAAGUAACUAGAAUAUGUAGUGUAGCGGUGAAAUGCUUAGAGAUUACAUGGAAUACCAAUUGCGAAGGCAGGUUACUACUAAUGGAUUGACGCUGAUGGACGAAAGCGUGGGUAGCGAACAGGAUUAGAUACCCUGGUAGUCCACGCCGUAAACGAUGGAUACUAGCUGUUGGGAGCAAUCUCAGUGGCUAAGCGAAGUGAUAAGUAUCCCNCCUGGGGAGUACGUNCGCAAGAAUGAAACUCAAGGAAUNGACGGGGCCCNCNCAAGCGG